Molecule: ribosomal RNA, 253 nt
Filed under: uncultured bacterium
Lineage: Bacteria
Description: partial 16S ribosomal RNA
Rfam family: Bacterial small subunit ribosomal RNA
Source: RNAcentral
UACGUGGGGGGCAAGCGUUGUUCGGAAUUACUGGGCGUAAAGGGCUCGUAGGUGGCCAACUAAGUCAGACGUGAAAUCCCCAGGCUCAACUUGGGAACUGCGUCUGAUACUGGAUGGCUUGAAUUCGGGAGAGGGAUGCAGAAUUCCAGGUGUAGCGGUGAAAUGCGUAGAUAUCUGGAGGAAUACCGGUGGCGAAGGCGGCAUCCUGGACCGAUAUUGACACUGAUGAGCGAAAGCUAGGGGAGCAAACGGG